GACGAACGCUGGCGGCGUGCUUAACACAUGCAAGUCGAACGGAAAGUCCCUGCUGUUGUGGGGUGCUCGAGUGGCGAACGGGUGAGUAACACGUGAGUAACCUGCCGUUGACUUUGGGAUAACUUCAGGAAACUGGGGCUAAUACAGGAUAGGAGCUCCUGCUUCAUGGCGGGGGUUGGAAAGUUUCGGCGGUUGGGAAUGGACUGGCGGCUUAUCAGCUUGUUGGUGGGGUAGUGGCUUACCAAGGCUUUGCCGGGUAGCCGGCCUGAGAGGGUGGCUGGCCACAUUGGGACUGAGAGACGGCCCGGCCACCUUCGGGAGGGAGCAGUGGGGAAGAUUGCACAAUGGGCGGAAGCCUGAUGCAGCAACGCCGGGUGCGGGAUGACAGACUUCCGGUGGUAAACAGCUUUCGCCUGGGACGAAGCGUGAGGGACGAUAAUGGGUAAGGAAGCACCGGCAAACUACUU
RNAcentral lists this ribosomal RNA (467 nucleotides) under uncultured bacterium. RNAcentral describes it as "partial 16S ribosomal RNA". It matches the Rfam family "Bacterial small subunit ribosomal RNA", at positions 28 to 506 of the family's 1533-position model. The record is from RNAcentral.